This 686-nucleotide ribosomal RNA is filed under the name Enterococcus faecalis. RNAcentral's name for it is "bacterial SSU rRNA". It matches the Rfam family "Bacterial small subunit ribosomal RNA", at positions 1 to 661 of the family's 1533-position model. Lineage: Bacteria; Bacillati; Bacillota; Bacilli; Lactobacillales; Enterococcaceae. The record is from RNAcentral.
UUUAGAGUUUGNUUUCCCGCUCAGGACGAACGCUGGCGGCGUGCCUAAUACAUGCAAGUCGAACGCUUCUUUCCUCCCGAGUGCUUGCACUCAAUUGGAAAGAGGAGUGGCGGACGGGUGAGUAACACGUGGGUAACCUACCCAUCAGAGGGGGAUAACACUUGGAAACAGGUGCUAAUACCGCAUAACAGUUUAUGCCGCAUGGCAUAAGAGUGAAAGGCGCUUUCGGGUGUCGCUGAUGGAUGGACCCGCGGUGCAUUAGCUAGUUGGUGAGGUAACGGCUCACCAAGGCCACGAUGCAUAGCCGACCUGAGAGGGUGAUCGGCCACACUGGGACUGAGACACGGCCCAGACUCCUACGGGAGGCAGCAGUAGGGAAUCUUCGGCAAUGGACGAAAGUCUGACCGAGCAACGCCGCGUGAGUGAAGAAGGUUUUCGGAUCGUAAAACUCUGUUGUUAGAGAAGAACAAGGACGUUAGUAACUGAACGUCCCCUGACGGUAUCUAACCAGAAAGCCACGGCUAACUACGUGCCAGCAGCCGCGGUAAUACGUAGGUGGCAAGCGUUGUCCGGAUUUAUUGGGCGUAAAGCGAGCGCAGGCGGUUUCUUAAGUCUGAUGUGAAAGCCCCCGGCUCAACCGGGGAGGGUCAUUGGAAACUGGGAGACUUGAGUGCAGAAGAGGAGAG